AGUGAACGCUGGCGGUAGGCCUAACACAUGCAAGUCGAACGGCAGCACAGUAAGAGCUUGCUCUUACGGGUGGCGAGUGGCGGACGGGUGAGGAAUACAUCGGAAUCUACUUUUUCGCGGGGGAUAACGUAGGGAAACUUACGCUAAUACCGCAUACGACCUACGGGUGAAAGCAGGGGAUCUUCGGACCUUGCGCGAUUGAAUGAGCCGAUGUCGGAUUAGCUAGUUGGCGGGGUAAAGGCCCACCAAGGCGACGAUCCGUAGCUGGUCUGAGAGGAUGAUCAGCCACACUGGAACUGAGACACGGUCCAGACCCCUACGGGAGGCAGCAGUGGGGAAUAUUGGACAAUGGGCGCAAGCCUGAUCCAGCCAUACCGCGUGGGUGAAGAAGGCCUUCGGGUUGUAAAGCCCUUUUGUUGGGAAAGAAAAGCAGCAGGUUAAUACCCCGCUGUUCUGACGGUACCCAAAGAAUAAGCACCGGCUAACUUCGUG
This 492-nucleotide ribosomal RNA is filed under the name uncultured bacterium. RNAcentral describes it as "partial 16S ribosomal RNA". It matches the Rfam family "Bacterial small subunit ribosomal RNA", at positions 29 to 507 of the family's 1533-position model. The record is from RNAcentral.